This 439-nucleotide ribosomal RNA is filed under the name uncultured bacterium. RNAcentral describes it as "bacterial SSU rRNA". It matches the Rfam family "Bacterial small subunit ribosomal RNA", at positions 340 to 773 of the family's 1533-position model. The record is from RNAcentral.
UACGGGAGGCAGCAGUGGGGAAUAUUGCACAAUGGGCGCAAGCCUGAUGCAGCCAUGCCGCGUGUAUGAAAAAGGCCUUCGGGUUGUAAAGUACUUUCAGUCGUGAGGAAGGUGUUAAGGUUAAUAACCUUAGCAAUUGACGUUAGCGACAGAAGAAGCACCGGCUAACUCCGUGCCAGCAGCCGCGGUAAUACGGAGGGUGCGAGCGUUAAUCGGAAUUACUGGGCGUAAAGGGCACGCAGGCGGCUAAUUAGUUGGAUGUGAAAUCCCCGGGCUUAACCUGGGAAUGGCAUUCAAGACUGGUUAGCUAGAGUCUUGUAGAGGGGGUAGAAUUCCGAUGUGUAGCGGUGAAAUGCGUAGAGAUGUGGAGGAAUACCGGUGGCGAAGGCGGCCCCUGGACAAAGGCUGACGCUCAUGUGCGAAAGCGUGGGGAGCAAAC